UCCCUCAUAGUUCAGUUGGUUAGAACGUCUGCCUAGUAAGCAGGAGGUCACCUGUUCGAAUCAGGUUGAGGGCA
Molecule: non-coding RNA, 74 nt
Organism: Irineochytrium annulatum
Lineage: Eukaryota; Fungi; Chytridiomycota; Chytridiomycetes; Chytridiales; Chytridiaceae
Source: the annotation of a GenBank genome assembly